GAACCGAAGACAGGCAGUCUUAAGACAGGCACAUGUGUAACCGGAAGUCGGGCACGUGAAAGCCCAGCUCUGAACGCUUUGGCAUUUCAGCGCUCUCGGACUAGGAGAGCCAGCCUUCCAACCAAGUGCUACAUCUCCGGGGAGGAGAGCCAGCCUUCCAACCAAGUGCUACAUCUCCGGGGAGCCGCCUCAUCCCACUAGCAUUCCUAUGCUCUGUUCUGUGGGUGCGGUCAUCAAGGACGAGACGGCCAUUGCUCCCGCAUAAUGUGUAUUUAGUUGAGUAUCCCUCAAAACCUGGACUGGAUACCUUUUCUUGACAAACUGGCUGGAGUCCUGGUGUGAGGAGAUUCUUAGGAUUUUGUCCUGCGAGGUCUCUCUCCCCCACACUAUUUGGAGGCGGAGAAUGUUGGCUGCGGUGGGGAGAGCUACGGGAAUGGUUCCCACGGACUAGCUCUGCUAAGACUGACAUAUAUCCGUCUCUACAGGACUGGGAACCCACUUUUUGCUGUGGAGCGCUGUGGAGAGUUUCUCCGUGUGAGAGCAUUUACCCAGCAGAUGUCCCACUGCCUAAAACAUCUCCAGAGAAGGAGACAAGCGACUUAGAUCUGCAAGCUGUAGAUGGAGAAACGUUAAGGGCGCCCAGGGCUCCAUGGAAACCAGAGGGCAGAAGGAGAACACCCUGCGGUUUGUUACAUUGUAUUUUCUUCACUUUCGUUCAUCAGAGUUGCUGAAUGGAGGCUUACCCUCAAAGGGCAAUGGGGAUUCCUGGGCUUUCUGAACCAUCCAUACUUACAUUUCUGUUUCCUGCUAUGCUCUCCCCAGAUUCAGAAGAAGGCAUUGCUGGAAGUGCUUCAGAGUACAGUCAUUCAGUAGGAAGAGACCUUCACAGAGCAGGGCUUCCAAGUGUGGUCUUGCGUCAACGGCCUCAGCGAGAGAUCUUGCUAGAAAUGAAGGUUCACAGGAUCUGCCCGAGAAACACUGAAUCAGAAACUGUGGAGGUGAAGGUGAGGAGUCAGCUUGAACAAAAGAAAAGGACACUGGACUAGACACAUGGAAGGUGACUGGACUAGACACAUGGAAGGUGGAGUCCAGCAUUUCUGUUGUCUUCUCCUCGCACGCGGUACCUGGAGCAAACCCUGACCUCUGAGUCUUGUUUCUUAUGCGUUUCCUGCGUCUGCAAUGGAAGGCGAUUGCACUCACUGUUUCUGCCUUGCAGAGCUGUUUGUGGGAUGGCAUGAGACUGUAAAUUCAGCUUUAUGCUGUUGGUCGGCGUGACACUCUUCUUGUGAUUACUCCAUAGGUCCCGGAUUAGCAGAAGUGAUUACGUGGAUUUCCCAGUUUGUUGUAAGACAACAUUAUUAUAACUUAACCUGGCUCUUUGGAAAAUUGGAUUCCACCUAAUUCAACAGUUCCAGGAAAGGGCCUCCGUGAGUCCAAAUGACAUUAGUUCCCUCUGGGUGAUACUCUGUGCUGUGGAGAAGGGACGCAGAAGAUGCCAGUGACAUGUUGGAGUGCAGAGGACACCUCCAUGGAGAUUCCAUCGUCUUGCGUCAUGUCACGAGGACCUGGGCAGAAACCCAUGGACAACAGUAACAGAAGGAGGCGCAUUGGUCUUUGAAAAGACGUUCUCCCAAGGGAGGAAGAAUGUGUGAACAAAGGGAAAGUCUAGCGGCUCAGAAGCAAGACCGCAAGGAGCUUUUGUGUCGUUUGCAUGGCACAGGCUUCCUCCUGCAUCCUGCACACAAUAUCUCAUGCACAGCAUAUCUCAUUGGCAUCUCAACCUCUGCCCAGAAUUACGUUUUUGUACUGUAGUGAGUCCCAGGUGACCUUCAGGAAUACGGUACCAGCGACUUCAUCCCUGAAGAACCUCUGUCUGUACGAGUGACUUGGGACAGUUCUAACGGCCCAUGCAAGGGAGUUUCUGGCCUUCGUCUCUGUGGACGGGCUUAUUUCAUAUACUGGUCGUUCAGUACUGGUGUAAGGCCUCCAGGCCCUCGCUGCCCACCUUAGUCUCCCGCCCCAUCAAAGGCAGGGUCGAGGGGAACAUGGGAGGUAGUAGCCUCCUCCCAGAAUGGCUGCGCUUGGUUUUAUCUUAGGGAUAAGCCCAGCUUUGCUGGGAAGUCCUGGUUUUUAACAACCCAUCCCCUUCAGCUUCUCUCAAACACUUAGCCAUGGCCUGUCCAUGGACAGACAUUCACGGCGCAACUCUCCAGGCUUUGUGGAUGACGGUGAGUGGAUGCAGACACGACUUAAUAGGGAUCGCGGAAACCAUGCUGCCCCUUGCUGCCUUGGCUCUCUCUUCCUUAGAUGCUUUGCCUUUGUGGGGCAGGAUCUACUCUGACCCCUUUUGUUGUCCCUCUCUCCCAGAAAGCCUCUGGAAGUUUCUACUUCCCCAUUGCGUGUAAGUUCGGCAGUCUUCACGCAUUGAUAUGUCUCUAUUAGAGCCUUUCAUGCAAGAUUGUGUAUGAGUGUCUUCAACAAUCGAAUCUCAGAGUGGCGGUCACUGACGUGGAACAUGGCUCUGAGUCAGCAGCCUCCUCUUUCCCCAGGAAAUCCUCACGUAGGUAAUUGCAUCGCUCUUGUUUCAACCGGUAAGAUGCCCACAAAUCAGCUUAAUCUCCUUGGCUAUCAGAAAAAGAAAGAAGCGACGUUUUCACUUUUUGAUGACCUAGAACCCUUUGCACUGGAGAGAAGGAAAAAAUCCCCAGCAGGACAGAGGGACAGGGUUUAAUUUUCAGAAGCCGAAACUUCUUUAAAGUUCCAAACCAUUUAAACAUUUACCGAGUUGGUUAUUUGGCAUCAUGCCACACGAGCUCGCCGAUAAUUGGUUUCACCUUUAAAUCACUUGACCAGGCUGCCCUGAUGUCUUGGCGUCUCGCCAGACAGGCUCAGCAUGUAAUGCUUGCUUUCUUUGGGCCUCCCAAUGUGUCAACUGAGUCACAGGUGCAAAUGAUCUGCAAGAAAAGUCCUUGUCUUUCCUGUGAAUUAAUAAACUGUGCGCUUCUCAUCCCUGGAUAUUUGGAACACCUUCGUUUUUUGAAAUCCAAUAAGGACAUUCUUCAUGGAGAUAAUUAAAAGCCUGUGCCCUCAGCCAACAAAGCAGGUUAUAAUCAAAAAGUUGAGGGUAGAGGUUUGUCUUCAAAAUUGAUGAAUCAGGCACAAAACCCGGAUGUAGACACGCAAGAUCAAAGUGGAAAUUGCCUCUGCUAGUCCCUUGAAGAGCAAAUUGUUUUAUUGACUUUUCCUCCACGUUGGCCUUGUUCUGCCUUGUAGGGCUUUUUCCUUCUUUGCAUUUGCAGAAAAAUAGAAUCCAGUGGCUUCUGAGGAGGGAAACAGAGACUUUGGCUAGCACCGUCUGUCUUGCUGGGGGCAGAACCAACUUUGAUGUCGCACUGUUUAAUUACAGCAGAGCCUUCCACCACCUCCAAAGAAAAAGCCCGCUACGGCCUUUCCUUUCAGAAGGCCACAGAGAGUGUGGGCGGGCGAACGUCGAAGUGUUGACCCUCCUGUAAACGGAACCCUAAGAUGUUUAUGGUCAGAAGGAAAGGCUUGGGUAACCUUUGACCCUUCUCAGACUACCCCACCUGGGACUGGCAGAGAUGCAGCUACUCUCUUUCUUGAGAAUUUCUAGACUACACACCAGGCAAGGACAAGCCCGCUUUCAACACCUAAUCAGUUAGAAGAAAGCAGGCAGCCUCGUGAAGUUCUGUGAGAUGAAGGGGUCUCAAAGUCAAAGGAAUCGGCUUCUUUUCACUCGGAAGGCAUCCUUCCCUGCCGCUGCCCAGGGUGUCUCCCAUUUGCUCGAGUGAAGCAGACACAUGCAACCGCAAGUAAGCAUGUGUGGAUUUUAAAGCAAGGGGCGAAAUAUAAUCAAACAAGACUAAAUUCAUUGAACCGAAUCCAGCUUAUCUGGAAUUCAGAAGUUAAUCACUUGAUGGCGGCAUGGCUGAUUUGUUGGACUGGCUGAUGUAGAGGCAGGCACACAUGAAGUUGGCUCUUGGCUUUUGAGGUAAAAGAGCCUGAAGCACCUCCCCUGAAUUCUAAAGAGAGCGGAGACUGAAUCUUCAGGAAUGGAAAUGCUGAGGAAACAUCUUAGUGUGCACCCUGCUCGGCUGACUCCCAGUCACACCUUCCGGGAAAGCGUGGUGACACUCCCUUUGCCACCAUGGAAGACCCCUGAGUCACCAGGUUUUCCGGUGCAGUACUCAGCGGUGUGGUUCCUGGGUCUGCAGUAUCAUUAUCAUCAGGACUUGUAAGACGUGCAGAGUCUCUCAUGCCAUCCAAGCCCCUCUGAAUGAAGAUUGCCCUGAACAACGGACUCAUUUGCACGGGAGGCGGUACUGAGACAGUCCCACAAGCCUGACCCCGAAGCAGCAGUGUGCAGCUGAGUUAGACACACAGCAGGAUCCCCAGUGAUGCACACGCUUGGACUUCACCGACCUACUCAGGGUCCCUCACAUCUGAUGCCUGAGGUGUCUCGUAAGGCAUUAUGGAGUCUGGAAGAGACUGUCCUGCUGAGAUCCUCUUAUUAGACUUGACAAAUACACCUUCUAGUCUUGACUCCUAUGUUAAAUGGAAGAAAUCUCAGAUACCACUGCUUGAAAUGGACUCCUGAAUUAGUGACUUGGCACUCCGAUUCCUGGAACCCACACAAAGGUAGAGAGAGACAGCCUAUUCACUAAAGCAGUCCUCUUACCUUCACAUUAAACACAUGCUUGCUCACGGGCUCACACACACACACACACAUACACACACACGCACGCACAUACACACAUGCACACACACAUGCACAUACACAUGCACAUACACACACACGCACAUAUACACACACAUACACACACACACACACAAAUAACUAAAGUAAUUACAAAGCAAGUGAAUUUUGGAUAACUAUAUUUAACUCUCCCAAGCCCCUCUCUCUAAGCAUGAACUGGGACAACACUGAACUUCAUCCUUUGCUCUUUGGAACCCUUAGUAGGAAAGGAAGAGAGGAGAGAGGGGCACAGAGAGGAGCAGCGCAAGCAGGCUCUCUCCUGGUGCUCAGAUGCUUCCGUUGUUCCUUUCUGCUGGCCCUGCCUAGGCUCUGGGCCUACAGGGAAACUACGAGGUGAGCACCUAGUUUCAUACAAAAGGCCUCACGGCUCACCCAGGAUGAGCGGCUGUUUCAGAGCCACAGUCCUCAGCAGUGCCCUCAGGAGUGCUGGGGGAGUCGAAAGAGGGCCAGAGAGAGGAGGAGAUAAAAGAACCCAGAACCUAUCCAAAAUAUGUGACUCAGAAUGAGAGAAACAAGGCGAAUUCCCAGAAGGCA
This is a long non-coding RNA of Mesocricetus auratus (golden hamster), 5308 nucleotides long. RefSeq lists it as uncharacterized. The transcript is spliced from 9 exons. The record is from RefSeq and is a predicted model, not a curated record. NCBI's taxonomy places the organism in Eukaryota, Metazoa, Chordata, Mammalia, Rodentia, Cricetidae.